This 253-nucleotide ribosomal RNA is filed under the name uncultured bacterium. RNAcentral's name for it is "partial 16S ribosomal RNA". It matches the Rfam family "Bacterial small subunit ribosomal RNA", at positions 524 to 776 of the family's 1533-position model. The record is from RNAcentral.
UACAGAGGUGGCAAGCGUUGUUCGGAAUUACUGGGCGUAAAGGGCUCGUAGGCGGCCAACUAAGUCAGACGUGAAAUCCCCAGGCUCAACCUGGGAACUGCGUCUGAUACUGGAUGGCUUGAAUCCGGGAGAGGGAUGCAGAAUUCCAGGUGUAGCGGUGAAAUGCGUAGAUAUCUGGAGGAACACCGGUGGCGAAGGCGGCAUCCUGGACCGGCAUUGACGCUGAGGCGCAAAAGCCAGGGGAGCAAACGGG